UCGUAGUCCACCUUUUCGACAUGCUGAGCAAGCUUUUCUCUGAAUGUAUCUUUUGUUAAUGAAUUAACUGAAACUUGUUUUAGUAGGUCAGCAUUGUCAUCCCUGAAGCGUCUCUUUUUUGAUGCAUGCACAUUUGUCGUCUGUUUUAGGAGAUCAUAUAUAGCAGCGGUAGCACUAGGAAUAUACUUGCUCAAAUUCCGCUUCCUUUCCUGCUGCUCACGAGCAUGAAUCCUUUUUACAAUUUUUGAUUUGAGCUGAUUGCAGCAUUGCUUAAUAGCUGUCUUGACAGCAGAAGCAAUCUCACUUAUGUCAUCUCCAAUAUACUCCUUGCCAGUCCCUUUAAAGGGGAUUUUGGUGCUAACAAUGCUCACAAAGACACCAAUUUUGUCUUGUG
This 394-nucleotide unclassified non-coding RNA is filed under the name Hevea brasiliensis (rubber tree). The record is from RNAcentral. Lineage: Eukaryota; Viridiplantae; Streptophyta; Magnoliopsida; Malpighiales; Euphorbiaceae.